This 58-nucleotide ribosomal RNA is filed under the name Fomes fomentarius. Its description in RNAcentral is "partial 28S ribosomal RNA". RNAcentral also lists the same sequence under 1 other name. Lineage: Eukaryota; Fungi; Basidiomycota; Agaricomycetes; Polyporales; Polyporaceae. The record is from RNAcentral.
UGACCUCAAAUCAGGUAGGACUACCCGCUGAACUUAAGCAUAUCAAUAAGCCGGAGGA